UGGUUGUGCUUUUAGCUAUAGAUGGUUUAAAGCAUAGUCAGGACACUGGGAAUCCAACAAAUAUACAGGGUUGUUUUAAAUUGGUCAAAUUGCUAUAUGUUUUACACAAUCAUGAAUUAAAUGUCUUUUCACAAGGUUUGUGUGUGCGGCAAGUGGACAUGCUGCAAGAUGGGAUUUCUAAGAGCAGCACCGCACUCUCAAGGAUGGCAAAGAAACUUAAAAGCAUGACAAAGCAUCGGAAGCAAAAAGGGCAGCGAACAGGUGGAGCUGAUGUUCUCGUCCACAUGGACUAAAGCAAAUUCUGUCAUAAAAGAAAGUACGCCAGAGGACGCUUUGGAAAACAUGGAGGAGAAAGACGUGGGUAUUUGGAAUGUUGGAAAUACGGGGGAACUCCAGGCGUCCUGUCCUUCGUCUUGUGAAGAGGAGGGACAAGGAUACGUUGGUUCCUAUCAUCAAAAAACCCACCAGACGUCAGAGUAUGGUAGUAAGUGAUGAGCGGAGAGCAGAUUCAAGUCUCUCACAGGAGGGCUACAGGCAUGUGAAGGUCAACCACAGCCAGCAUUACGUAGAUACAGGUCUACACACUCAGAACAUUGAGAGGGCCUGGCAGACUUACAAGAAGGAGGUAUGGCGUUUACGUGGCAACCGAACAGAGAGGUCUCUGAAAAGGCAGCUCUGCUUUAUUGAAUGACACAAACAUGGAAACCUUGGUAGACUUUUCAAGGACAUAAAGAAUAUGAAAUAAUCAGCAUCUGAUUUGUUUUUCAUUGUUUCAAUGUUUUACAUGCUUCCUCAAAGCAAAUGUUGCACAGCCAGUAAAAUGUUGUGGUGUCAGACAUACUAAAAGCUUUACUUGUGUUUCACUUUAGUUGAAUGAGACAUUCAUCUAUAGAAGAUUACUAGACUUUGUAAAUGCACUGAUUAUGUUGAUGACUUGAUAUUGUGAAGUACAUAAGCCAUAAACAGUCAACUAAG
This is a long non-coding RNA of Micropterus dolomieu (smallmouth bass), 975 nucleotides long. RefSeq lists it as uncharacterized. The record is from RefSeq and is a predicted model, not a curated record. NCBI's taxonomy places the organism in Eukaryota, Metazoa, Chordata, Actinopteri, Centrarchiformes, Centrarchidae. The transcript is spliced from 2 exons.